This 102-nucleotide microRNA precursor is filed under the name Leptotrombidium deliense. RNAcentral describes it as "microRNA mir-137". The stretch from base 17 to 85 matches the Rfam family "mir-234 microRNA precursor family". The record is from RNAcentral. Lineage: Eukaryota; Metazoa; Arthropoda; Arachnida; Trombidiformes; Trombiculidae.
CGAAUGCAGUGAAUGCACACAGUGUAUUCCUGGGUAAAUAACAUGUAAUAUGCGAAAUGUGUUAUUGCUUGAGAAUACACGUCGUGCAUUCAUUUUCACUGC